This 253-nucleotide ribosomal RNA is filed under the name uncultured bacterium. RNAcentral's name for it is "partial 16S ribosomal RNA". It matches the Rfam family "Bacterial small subunit ribosomal RNA", at positions 524 to 776 of the family's 1533-position model. The record is from RNAcentral.
UACGUAGGGGGCUAGCGUUGUCCGGAUUUAUUGGGCGUAAAGAGCGUGUAGGCGGCCAGGUAGGUCUGGUGUGAAAACUCGAGGCUUAACCUCGAGAUGUCAUCGGAAACCAUCUGGCUAGAGUCCGGAAGAGGAGAGUGGAAUUCCUGGUGUAGCGGUGAAAUGCGCAGAUAUCAGGAAGAACACCCGUGGCGAAAGCGGCUCUCUGGGACGGUACUGACGCUGAGACGCGAAAGCGUGGGGAGCGAACAGG